ACCUGCCUCAUACUCGGGAAUAGCCUUGCGAAAGUAAGAUUAAUGCCCGGUGUUUUCAGANNNNNGCAUGAGGCUUUGAACAAAGAUUUAUCGGUAUGAGAUGGCGAUGCGUCCCAUUAGCUUGUUGGCGGGGUAACGGCCCACCAAGGCAUCGAUGGGUAGGGGUUCUGAGAGGAAGGUCCCCCACAUUGGAACUGAGACACGGUCCAAACUCCUACGGGAGGCAGCAGUGAGGAAUAUUGGUCAAUGGGCGGAAGCCUGAACCAGCCAAGUAGCGUGCAGGAAGACGGCCCUCCGGGUUGUAAACUGCUUUUAGUUGGGAAUAAAACGGGGCUCGUGAGCCCCCUUGCAUGUACCAUCAGAAAAAGGACCGGCUAAUUCCGUGCCAGCAGCCGCGGUAAUACGGAAGGUCCGGGCGUUAUCCGGAUUUAUUGGGUUUAAAGGGAGCGCAGGCGGACCUUUAAGUCAGCUGUGAAAUACGGCGGCUCAACCGUCGAACUGCAGUUGAUACUGGAGGUCUUGAGUGCACACAGGGAUGCUGGAAUUCAUGGUGUAGCGGUGAAAUGCUCAGAUAUCACGAAGAACUCCGAUUG
Molecule: ribosomal RNA, 593 nt
Filed under: uncultured Bacteroidota bacterium
Lineage: Bacteria; Pseudomonadati; Bacteroidota
Description: bacterial SSU rRNA
Rfam family: Bacterial small subunit ribosomal RNA
Source: RNAcentral